RNAcentral lists this transfer RNA (74 nucleotides) under Sphaeramia orbicularis (orbiculate cardinalfish). RNAcentral describes it as "tRNA-Lys". It matches the Rfam family "tRNA". Rfam says of the family: Transfer RNA (tRNA) molecules are approximately 80 nucleotides in length. Their secondary structure includes four short double-helical elements and three loops (D, anti-codon, and T loops). Lineage: Eukaryota; Metazoa; Chordata; Actinopteri; Kurtiformes; Apogonidae. The record is from RNAcentral.
CACUGAGAAGCUUAUCCGGGACAAGCGUUAGCCUUUUAAGCUAGAGACAGGUGGCUCCCAACCACCCUCAGUGA